Molecule: unclassified non-coding RNA, 448 nt
Filed under: Hevea brasiliensis (rubber tree)
Lineage: Eukaryota; Viridiplantae; Streptophyta; Magnoliopsida; Malpighiales; Euphorbiaceae
Source: RNAcentral
UUCCAAAUAAACUUGUAACUAUCAUCAGUUGUAGCCACUCCUUUCCUAUGCAACUCUGAUGUAGCAUCAGCAUUCAAAACAAUAGAACCCCCAGCUGCCUUAGUUCGAGCACUUCGUGCCAUUUCCUUGGCUUCGUCCAUAGCAAUAUUGAAACCUUCAAUGUCAACUGUAAGGCCUUCUUCUUCUGCCAUUAGCUGAGUAAGGUCCACUGGAAAUCCGUAAGUGUCCCACAAAACAAAAGCAUCCUUCCCCGACAGUUCAGUUCCCUUGACAUCCUUGACGGCCUUAUUAAACCUUUCAAUUCCCUUUACUAAUGUCCUUCCAAAACUAGCUUCUUCCUCUGCAAGUAUUUCUUUGAUUUUGGCCUCAUGUUGAGCAAGUUCUGGAAAAGUACCCCCCAUCACUUCUACAACAAUACCUACAAGACCACUAAAAAAUCCAUCUUGUG